GUGUAAGCUCUCAGCCUCAGAACCUGAAUACCAGUGUGUGUGGUCUGGGCUGGAUCUAGACGUUAUGUGUGGCUGGGACAGGAGAUGUCCUCCAGGAUCACCAAAACAUCUUUAGAGAAAGAUAGAAAACCUGAUGGAAUGAAGGUCAAGUCCAAACACAGGGAUGGGGAACAGAGUAUUGUUUAUUUCUAGCAUCCUGUAUCCUUCUCCAAGAUGACUACUGUUGUCUACUUCCCUAGCUGGAAUUAGCUUCUUGCCAGACUGCUGUUUCUGAGAAUGCUCCGCCUUCCUUGGGCUGUAGUCUUUUAUUCCAACCACUGCUAAUCAGUGCAUACAUAUCUGCAGAACAUGAAGUAGCUGCUCAACACAUUAACUCCUUGGUGACUGGAGUUGGAGCAUCCUGUUUGCUGGAAGAGCUGCAGUCUCAAGUCCUGCUAAGGGAACAUUAUGAGUUAGCAAUGGCCAUUGCUGGUGGAAGAAGUAUGAAUACACAGACUGACACAAAAUGCCAUCACAAUUAUGCAGAGGUUUCUACAACAGCAAAAAACUUUCAUCUGCAUUAAUCUUGUUCCUGUCCUUUUUCAAGCUGUGGGGUCAGCAUAUUUAACAACUGCAAUGUUAGGAGGUAAUGAAAUUAAUACAUUGAGGCUACUAGGAUAACUCAUGUCUUUUUACAUGAUUAACAUUAUUUCUUUGGCUGAAGGCAUUGGUGCCUCUGUUUUAAGACGUGUCAAAAUAUUUAUCAAUUUUUUGGAGGACUACAUACCUUGUAAAUACUCUUAGACAUGUCUCCACUUUCCAAAAUAAUCAUCAAGGGAAUGAACAUUCAUUAGCUCUGUGUUUACAGUAAGUGGAUCACAAAAUAUUGGCAGGGCCUAGACAUUUGUGUGCCAGCUGACUUGGAAACUUUUGGUGGCUGAACCUUUCAGAGUGAUUGAAGUUAAUGGGAAAUGAUUUCAGGGGCAGCACUCCUGUCUGGGUCUGUUACCAGCUGUAGAAGCAGUAUCUUGCGAAGGUGAAUUAGUCACCAAGUACAGAUAACUUCUCUGUGCCAAUACACUGCCAUCAAUUUGAAGUAUUUUGUAAAGAAAAAUGUCAUCUGAAUUGUGCAAUGAACACAGUGUUUUCUCUCUGCUAAGCUGUUUUCCUGAGACCUUUCAGCACCUUCCAUGCCCACAAAAGACAAACUUGUCUGCCUGGCCUUCAUAGGUACUGUAGGUACAAAACAGUUACUGCUUUCGAACUUAAACAGGUGCAUUAUUCCAGGUAUGUGAGAAAUCUUGCAAACCAACAUUUCCUGGUACACUGGUCUCAACCAAAGGCAUCAUCUUCAUGUGCAGCCUUACAGAAAGGCUCUUUUCUGGGGACUGACCCCCACAGAUCCCCAGCCAUCUCACUCGCCCUCUUCCAGUGAUGCAUUCAUCCUCAACUGAGACUUCUGCUGCAGCUACUGAGAAACACAAGGGAACAGGAGGAAACAUAAGGGCAUGUGAAAUGCCAAGUCUACCUUCCUCCUUCCAGAAGGAUUUCUUACUUCAGUGUUGCUGCAGUGGUGGAUUCAUUCAAAGACUGUAGUUCUCUUGCUCUCCUGACCAGUGUCCUCUGUUUCACCUUAGAAAUGGUUUCCUAUACCAGCCAUUCUUUGGGAGGAAAAACUACCACCUGUAAUCCAGCUGCUGUAGCUAGUCAAUAUACUAUUAUUGCCUGUUCAAGUUAUUUGAUCUUUUUUUCUUCUGACAUCUUCACUCUGAUCCACCUUAUUUUUCACUCCAGUUAACAAUAAUAGGAAUUAGUAAUGGAGAAAUGAGCUCUUUACCCCUUAUACUUUCUUGUGCCUCCCAGGCACAAUACAAACUUGGUAAUUCAGUUGGAACCUUGUGCAGAAGGGCGGAGUUAAAACCUGACUCAGAAGUCCCCAAUUUUAUUUUACUCUAUUUUUUAACAUUUCAUUAUAGCCCCAUAUGAGUAUAUGCCUGAUAGAAAGCAUAAAUGCACAGAGCCAGAUUUUCCUUGGAGGGCUCUAUUCUGCAUGAGGUGUUAAACAGCUGCACAACAACAAUAUCUGCCUGGAGAAAUCCCACUGCAAUAAAUGGAAUUACCUGGAUGGUGUAAAUAAGAGC
This 2120-nucleotide long non-coding RNA is filed under the name Junco hyemalis (dark-eyed junco). RNAcentral describes it as "lncRNA (ENSJHYG00000002926.1)". Lineage: Eukaryota; Metazoa; Chordata; Aves; Passeriformes; Passerellidae. The record is from RNAcentral.